RNAcentral lists this ribosomal RNA (330 nucleotides) under uncultured eukaryote. RNAcentral describes it as "partial 18S ribosomal RNA". It matches the Rfam family "Eukaryotic small subunit ribosomal RNA", at positions 1470 to 1796 of the family's 1831-position model. The record is from RNAcentral.
CCCUUAGAUGUCCUGGGCCGCACGCGCGUUACACUGAAGGAAUCAGCACGUCUUUCUCCUUGUCCGAAAGGACUGGGUAACCCGCUGAACCUCCUUCGUGCUAGGGAUUGGGGCUUGUAAUUCUUCCCCAUGAACGAGGAAUUCCCAGUAAGCGCGAGUCAUAAGCUCGCGUUGAUUACGUCCCUGCCCUUUGUACACACCGCCCGUCGCUACUACCGAUUGGAUGGUUUAGUGAGAUCCUCGGAUUGGUCCCGGAGCGGCCUCUGGUCGUGCCGGAGUGCCGAAAAGAAUGUCGAACUUGAUCAUCUAGAGGAAGUAAAAGUCGUAACA